This is a non-coding RNA of Micropterus salmoides (largemouth bass), 905 nucleotides long. The record is from the annotation of a RefSeq genome assembly. NCBI's taxonomy places the organism in Eukaryota, Metazoa, Chordata, Actinopteri, Centrarchiformes, Centrarchidae.
AUGACUUUGAUCUGCAUCCUCAUCUGGACUCUCCUCUGCUGCUGCUUCACAGAGUCCACAGGCCAGGUCACAGUGACUCAGCCUGGAGCAGUGAGCUCUGCUCUGGGAGGCUCCGUCUCCAUCAGAUGUAGGACCAGUCAGAAUGUUUUCUAUAGCAGCCCAAACCACGCUUUAGCCUGGUACCAACAGAGAGAUGGAGAACCUCCUAAACUCCUCAUUUACUUUGCUAGCACUCGAGAGUCAGGGAUUCCAGAUCGUUUUACAGGCAGUGGAUCAAACUCUGACUUCACUCUGACCAUCAGUGGAGUCCAGACUGAAGAUGCAGCAGUUUACUACUGUCUGAGUUUUCAUGUUAUCAACGGUCAGUAUGUGUUCACUUUUGGUGGAGGAACCAGACUGGAGGUUAACUUGGGUCGAGUCGCCCCCACCCUGACGGUGCUGCCCCCCUCCAGUGAGGAGCUGCAGCAGGGGAAGGCCACGCUCAUGUGCCUGGCCAACAAGGGCUUCCCCUCAGACUGGAGUCUGGCCUGGAAGGUGGACGGCAGCAGCAGCAGCAGCAGCAGCUGGGAGGAGAGCAGGAGCCUCGGGGUGCUGGAGAAGGACGGCCGCUACAGCUGGAGCAGCACCCUGAGGCUCCCUGCAGACCAGUGGAGGAAGGUGGGCUCUGUGACCUGUGAGGCCACCCAGGGCUCCCAGGCUCCGCUCUCAGAGACACUGAGGAGAGACCAGUGUUCCCAGUCCUGACCUGACUCACUGGGACUUUGAUAUUGGCUUUAUUCUGCCACAGCUCUCAGUCUCUCUGUAACGCUUCCUCUCUCUUUUUCCCUCACUUUAUGGCAGCAAAAUAAUUUCAGUUUUGAAGUGUAAUUUCUUUUUGCAUUCAGUAAUGUUUAAAUUCUCAGAAU